RNAcentral lists this ribosomal RNA (369 nucleotides) under uncultured alga. Its description in RNAcentral is "bacterial LSU rRNA". It matches the Rfam family "Bacterial large subunit ribosomal RNA", at positions 2098 to 2465 of the family's 2925-position model. The record is from RNAcentral.
GCUUGACUGUAUCCUGGAAUUGGGUUUCGGUUUUUCUUGCGCAGUCUAGGUGGGAGGCUAUGAAGAUUUCCUUCCGGGGAAAUUAGAGCCAUCAGUGAGAGACCACUCUGGAAGAACUAAAAUUCUAAUGGCGUUCCUUGAAUCAGGACGCUUGACAUUUUCAGGUGGGCAGUUUUUCUGGGGCGGAAGCCUCAUAAAGCGUAACUGAGGCGCGCAAAGGUUCCCUCAAGCUGGUUGGAAAUCAGCUUUAGAGUGUAAAGGCAAAAGGGAGCUUGACUGCAAGAGUGACAACUCAAGCAGGGACGAAAGUCGGCCUUAGUGAUCCGACGGCACUGCAUGGAAGGGCCGUCGCUCAACGGAUAAAAGUUA